Molecule: ribosomal RNA, 1503 nt
Filed under: uncultured bacterium
Lineage: Bacteria
Description: bacterial SSU rRNA
Rfam family: Bacterial small subunit ribosomal RNA
Source: RNAcentral
AGUGAACGCUGGCGGCGUGGAUUAGGCAUGCAAGUCGAGCGAACUUAUUUUUUUUGUUAUUGCAGGGUAACUUGUGGUAGCAAGAAAAAUGAGUUAGCGGCAAACGGGUGAGUAAUGCAUGGGUAACGUACCUUGAAGAGAGGGAUAGCCUCGCGAAAGCGGGAGUAAUACCUCAUGUGCCCAGUGUUUCGACGGAAAUACUGGUGAAAGAUGGCCUCUACUUGUAAGCUAUCACUUUAAGAGCGGCCCAUGUCCUAUCAGGUAGUUGGUGGGGUAACGGCCUACCAAGCCUAAGACGGGUAGCUGGUUUGAGAGAAUGGUCAGCCACAUCGGGACUGAGACACUGCCCGGACUCCUACGGGAGGCUGCAGUCGAGGAUCUUUUCCAAUGGACGAAAGUCUGAGAAUGCGACGCCGCGUGAGGGAUGAAGGCCUUCGGGUUGUAAACCUCUUUUGUUGGGGAGGAAUGCUGCACGGUAAAUAAUCGUGCAGUUUGACUGUACCCGGCGAAUAAGCCACGGCUAACUCCGUGCCAGCAGCCGCGGUAAUACGGAGGUGGCGAGCGUUACUCGGUUUGACUGGGUGUAAAGGGUCCGCAGGCGGUCUAAUAAGUAGAAAGUGAAAUCCUUCGGCUUAACCGGAGAACUGCUUUCUAAACUGUUAGACUAGAGGAUGGGAGAGGAGAUCGGAACUGUCAGUGUAAGGGUGAAAUCUGUGGAUAUUGACAGGAACGUCAGUGGGGAAGCCGGAUCUCUGGUCCAUUCCUGACGCUCAGGGACGAAAGCUAGGGGAGCAAACAGAAUUAGAUACUCUGGUAGUCCUAGCCGUAAACGAUGGGCACUAGGUGUCUAUCCGUAAGGAUGGGUGCCGCAGCUAACGCGUUAAGUGCCCCACCUGGGGACUACGGCCGCAAGGCUAAAACUCAAAGGAAUUGGCGGGGGCCCGCACAAGCAGUGGAACACGUGGUUUAAUUCGAUGCUACGCGAGGAACCUUACCAGGGUUUGACAUGCUAGUAGUAAUUACCUGAAAGGGUGGAUGAACUGUAACCAGUCAGUUGCUAGCACAGGUGCUGCAUGGCUGUCGUCAGCUCGUGCCGUGAGGUGUUCCCUUAAGUGGGACAACGAGCGCAACCCUCGCCCUUAGUUGCUAGCUUUUGUGUUGAACAAGAGCGCGCUCUAAGGGGACAGCCCGCGUUAAGUGGGAGGAAGGCGGGGACGACGUCAAGUCCGCAUGGCCCUUAUAUCCUGGGCUACACACGUGUUACAAUGCCGGUUACAACGGGAGGCGAAACCGUAAGGUGGAGCAAAUCCUUAAAAAGCCGGCUCAGUUCGGAUUGAGGGCUGCAACUCGCCCUCAUGAAGCUGGAAUUGCUAGUAAUGGCGCAUCAGCUAUGGCGCCGUGAAUACGUUCCCGGGCCUUGCACACACCGCCCGUCAAGCGCUGAAAGUGAGAGGCACCCAAAGUCCCCGUUAGGAGAACACGGUGAAUUUCAUGAUUGGCGCU